AGAAAGCAAAUUUCAUCUUGAAAAGUCUUUCCCUUAACUAUAGCAGACCCACUGCAGGGAUGAAUGUCAUCUUUAAAGAGGAAGAAAAAUUAUGGGAGGAAUUAUGUAGUACUGCAGGUUUCCAGUGUGGUGAAUUUAAGAGACAAGUGUGGUGACAGACUUAUCAGAAACACUGGCUGAAAUGAAGCUGUUGAUCCAAACAUCCUCAUCGCCCUUUAUCCUAAAGCCAAAGCAAAAAUGAGACAUCCCAGUGGGUGUGGGCCAUGAGCUGAAGUGUUUGUCCCUUCAAACAGCUGUCCUGCCUUUGCUUCGUUUGAUGCUGUGAAGUUCAUCAAUAUUCAUCAGGACUGGAGAGACAGAGAGACUAAUUUUCAGCUGAGGCAGCUGGGUGACUCGCUGUCAGCACCGACACCAGCAGCAAGGCCAGAUUCUUUGGCUUUUGGUGUCUCCACCAUCCUCCAGCAGGAAACCUGCGCUGCCACUGCAGUGCUGCCAGCUGGGGGAGGUCUGCUAAGGACUACGGGGAUUCAGGCAUGACUCCCAUGCUCAUCCUAGCAACUCCAGAUAAGAGCACAGGAAAAUCAAAGCAAGCUUGCAAGGUGAUGGCCAGAAGCUUUAAAGGGUAUGCUGGUACGUCUGGCUUGUUGGUAGGGGAAAGCAUCUACAGUUCUUUCAAGAACUUUUUGUUUUUCCAAAAUGCUGGUCUUAGCAGGCCAAUUCAUAUUUUUCCUGCUCUAUGAAGUACCCUCCUGAUAAGUAUAAAUAAUGUUACAUAUGCACUUGUAUUAGAAUUUGCUAAAGUUAUUUGCCUGGAAUGUGCAUGGGGGUCUUAGCAUAACUGC
Long non-coding RNA from Cygnus olor (mute swan), 842 nucleotides. RefSeq lists it as uncharacterized. The transcript has 3 exons. Lineage: Eukaryota; Metazoa; Chordata; Aves; Anseriformes; Anatidae. The record is from RefSeq and is a predicted model, not a curated record.